GGCCCUGUAGCUCAGUUGGUUAGAGCGCUGCCCUGUCACGGCAGAGGUCGUGGGUUCGAGUCCCCUCAGGGUCG
This is a non-coding RNA of Clostridiales bacterium GWD2_32_19, 74 nucleotides long. NCBI's taxonomy places the organism in Bacteria, Bacillati, Bacillota, Clostridia, Eubacteriales. The record is from Rfam.